RNAcentral lists this microRNA precursor (93 nucleotides) under Trypanosoma vivax Y486. The record is from RNAcentral. Lineage: Eukaryota; Euglenozoa; Kinetoplastea; Trypanosomatida; Trypanosomatidae.
ACAAAAGAUCUACUGAAGAUUUUCUCCUCUCCCUCUCCUUUUUUUGCACACACACGCAAAGAGAGAGAGAGAGAGAGAGAGAGAGAGAGAGAU